CGAAGAACCUUACNAAAUCAUGACAUCCUNGGACAACUNCUAGAGANAGAGCCUUCCCCUUCGGGGGAUUNNAGUGACAGGNGGUGCAUGGUGGUNGUCAGCUCGUGUCGUGAGANGUUGGGUUAAGUCCCNCUANGAGCGCNACCCUUAAGCUUAGNUGCNAUCAUUAAGUUGGGCACUCUAAGUUGACUGCCGGUGACAANCCGGAGGAAGGUGGGGAUGACGUCNAAUCAUCAUGCCCCUUAUGAUUUGGGCUACACACGUGCGUACAAUGGACAAUACAAAGGGCAGCGAAACCGUCGAGGUCAAUGCAAAUCCCAUAAACGUUGUUCUCAGUUCGGANUUGUAGUCUGCAACUCGACUACAUGAAGCUGGAACUCGCUAGUAAUCGUAGAUCAGCAUGCU
Molecule: ribosomal RNA, 405 nt
Filed under: Staphylococcus sp. L371_HAm
Lineage: Bacteria; Bacillati; Bacillota; Bacilli; Caryophanales; Staphylococcaceae
Description: partial 16S ribosomal RNA
Rfam family: Bacterial small subunit ribosomal RNA
Source: RNAcentral